AUGGACGGCCCAAUGAAGCACGUCAUUGCCUUGCUGAUGGAUGAGAGUAAAGAGUUGAAAGUGGUGCCGAUUGUUGGAUCAGGAGGGCUGGGGAAGACGACCCUGGCCAUGGAAGUCUAUCGCAAGAUUGCAUUAGGAGGAGACUUCCAGUGUCAAGCUUGUGUGUCAGUGUCGCGCACACUUGAUCUGGUGAAGCUCCUCAAAGAUAUCUUGUCUCAGAUCGAUAAAGAUGCGUACAAAGAUUGUCAGAAUUGGGAAAAGGAACAGCUAAUCCGUGAAAUCAAACAUAUCUUGACAGGAAAGAGGUACUUCAUUGUUAUUGAUGAUGUAUGGAAAGAACAAGAUUGGAAAUUGGUCAAGGCAGCAUUUCCUGACAAUAAUAAUGGUAGUAGAAUAAUUGCUACUACACGACCGGUGAAGCUAAUCUAUGUUGUUCCAUAUCCAAUGAGCAACCAUAUCAAAUGGCACCUCUAG
Molecule: ribosomal RNA, 474 nt
Filed under: Triticum aestivum (bread wheat)
Lineage: Eukaryota; Viridiplantae; Streptophyta; Magnoliopsida; Poales; Poaceae
Description: partial small subunit ribosomal RNA
Source: RNAcentral